RNAcentral lists this ribosomal RNA (253 nucleotides) under uncultured bacterium. RNAcentral describes it as "partial 16S ribosomal RNA". It matches the Rfam family "Bacterial small subunit ribosomal RNA", at positions 524 to 776 of the family's 1533-position model. The record is from RNAcentral.
UACGUAGGGUGCAGGCGUUAAUCGGAAUUACUGGGCGUAAAGCGUGCGCAGGCGGUUUCUUAAGUCUGAUGUGAAAGCCCCGGGCUCAACCUGGGAACUGCAUUGGAAACUAACGGGCUCGAGUGUGGUAGAGGGGGAUGGAAUUCCGCGUGUAGCAGUGAAAUGCGUAGAUAUGCGGAGGAACACCGAUGGCGAAGGCAAUCCCCUGGACCUGUACUGACGCUCAUGCACGAAAGCGUGGGGAGCAAACAGG